Molecule: long non-coding RNA, 2020 nt
Filed under: Ananas comosus (pineapple)
Lineage: Eukaryota; Viridiplantae; Streptophyta; Magnoliopsida; Poales; Bromeliaceae
Description: long non-coding RNA (ACOM_LNC019437)
Source: RNAcentral
GGCUGGCAAAUGAGCGAGCCGGCUCGCGUUCGACUCGCGUUCGACUCGAUAUUUGGCUCGCUCGAGCUCGAUUCGAAAUUAAAUGAGCUGAGCUUGAACAAAAUAAAAGAUUCGAAAUUCAUUUCAAACCGAGCUUGAGUAUUACUUGGUUCGUUCGAAUUAGGCUCAAGAAGCUCGAAAAGCUCGACUAUAUAUAUAUAGUAGAGCUACUAUGCUAUCGAAAAUAUAAAAAUAUAGUGCUUUCGAUUUUUUGAUUCUUAGAUCAAUCCCUUUAAUCGUUUCUUAUCUUUGGAUUAAUAUUAUUAUUACCUUGUAGGGACCACUCAAUCCUAAGAGUAUCAUUUAAUCCUAAGGGAGACCGCAAUCAUCCCAGCCAUACAAUUUUUAAUCAAAGGAUCAAAAAUUCAAAAACAUCAAAUCCUCUAUAUUUUCGAUAGCAUAGUAGUUCUACACUAUAUAUAUAUUAAAAAAUAUAUAAAUAUAAUAUAUUUUAAUUAUACAUAGGUUGAGUGAAUAAUUUAAGUUUAGUUAAAAUUAGGCUAAUAUUGUUGGCUCAUAAAAACAAAUCCAAUAGACAAAUAAAAGAAUAAAAUUUUACUAAAUUUAUAUAUUUUUUCUUUCUUUAUUUCUUUCUUUCUUUUUUUUCACAGAGCUCUAAAUUUUUAAUUUGUUUUUCUCUUUUUCUUUUUCUGUCUCUCACCCUAAGUUGCCAAGCCGGAAGUCCUCUAAGUUACCAAGUAACAUCAUAUGCCCGCCGUUGCCUACCUUGCUAUUAAUUGUAUGCUUGAGAAAAUAUACAGAAUAUUUUUAAAGUAAAAAAUUAUUAUUCAUAUAAAAUUUUAAUUUUAGUUAUAUAUGAUUGGAUAGUUUAAUUCAAUAUUUAUCUAUAUAAUUUAUUUAUUUUUCACUACAUAAAUAAAAAUGAAUAAUAUAGAGAUUGAAGACGGAAGAAAAGACAUGUGAGGCUGAAAAAAUUAAAUAUUCAACUCAUAAAUUAUUUUUUUCAUAUUAUAAUACUAUAUUUCAUAUAAUUAUUUUGUACGUUGAACUAUUAGACAUAUUUUUGUAUCAAAUUAUAGAUAAUGUUCUAUAUAAAUUAAACUAUUGAUCGUAUAAUGUUGAGAAUUUCAAGCGGCUCAUUUAGGGCUCGAGCUCGCUCAACUUGAAAUUAGGCUCGCUCGAGCUCGGCUCGAAUUAAUUUCAAUCCAAGCUUGAGCUUAAAUUUAGACUCGAAAUUAAUUUCAAGCCGAAUUUGAGCCGAGAUAAGCUCGCUCGAGCUCGGCUCGUUUCCACCCCUAUAUAUAUAUAAUUGAGCUCCUAUGCUUUUAAAAGUACCAAGUCAUUAGUGCUUGUAAGUUUUCGACCUUUGGAUUAAGGAAUGUGCGGUUAGGAUGAUGUUGGCCUCCUAGGGUUGAGUGAGUGGUUGGUUGAAUAGUAUAAUCUAACGGAUAAAAAUGAUGAAAGGCAUAGAUCUAACGGUAAAAAAUUUAGAAACACCAAAUGCUUGGUGCUUUUACAAGCACCAUAGCCGAACUCUAUAUAGAGUAUUGGACCCUUCGUACUCAUAAGUUAUUUUCGAUAAUAGAGCUUCUGAAUCAACGAUCCACUCCGUUAAAUAUGAUCUAGAGUAUUUGAAACUUCUAGAAAAUAAAUUUUGUAACUUUUCGAAAUCAUAAUAAAGUCCAUCAAGCGAGCAUAAAAUGAACGGUCAAAAUCGAACGAUGUCUUAAAAAUGGAUAAUCAGAUCCUUCAAUUUAAGAUCGGAGUUAUUGAUCUUUAUCUAGGUAGUGAAUAGAAUUUUCUAUCAAAAAUUCAACCUAUUCGGAUUCUUUUGCACCGUUAAACUAGCAAGUAUUCCAUACCGGCCGUUAAAAAUUGUCAAUUUUGUGAGCUUUUGAUUGUAAGGUAAAUGAUGUCGAAAAAUUAUGAAAUUUGAUUUCUAGAUGUUUCAAAUGCUCUAGAUAACGUUUAACGGUGUGGAUUGUCGAUUCGGAAGCUCUAUCAUCGAAAACAACUUAUG